GACGAACGCUGGCGGCGUGCUUAACACAUGCAAGUCGAACGGAAAGGCCCUGCUUUUGUGGGGUGCUCGAGUGGCGAACGGGUGAGUAACACGUGAGUAACCUGCCCUUGACUUUGGGAUAACUUCAGGAAACUGGGGCUAAUACCGGAUAGGAGCUCCUGCUGCAUGGUGGGGGUUGGAAAGUUUCGGCGGUUGGGGAUGGACUCGCGGCUUAUCAGCUUGUUGGUGGGGUAGUGGCUUACCAAGGCUUUGACGGGUAGCCGGCCUGAGAGGGGGACCGGCAACAUUGGGACUGAGAUACGGCCCAGACUCCUACGGGAGGCAGCAGUGGGGAAUAUUGCACAAUGGGCGGAAGCCUGAUGCAGCAACGCCGCGUGCGGGAUGACGGCCUUCGGGUUGUAAACCGCUUUCGCCUGUGACGAAGCGUGAGUGACGGUAAUGGGUAAAGAAGCACCGGCUAACUACGUG
RNAcentral lists this ribosomal RNA (468 nucleotides) under uncultured bacterium. RNAcentral describes it as "partial 16S ribosomal RNA". It matches the Rfam family "Bacterial small subunit ribosomal RNA", at positions 28 to 507 of the family's 1533-position model. The record is from RNAcentral.